AGAGCAGGACCUGGCUUGGGAAGCUUCAGAGGGAAGCAAAGAUUCUGCCAGGACUUCUGUGUGAAGAAUCUGUGGCUAUCUGGUCAGCAGGAGCUGAAGAUUCAGCUGUGAUUAACAAGAGAUCAGAAGCACUCAAGUGAAACCUUUGCUUUGCUGGGAUAGUAGAUGCUGGUCAGCUGGGGUGGAAGAAUCAGCUAUGACUAAGAAGAGACCAGCAUCCUUGAGGGGAAAUCUUCAGGGAAGUGUUUCCUCAAGGCCAGCACUUGUGAGCUGUGUUUAGAGGUGGUUAGGGUUGUAUCGUGUGCUGGCGGACAAACUCGGUCAUGUGUAAGAGUUUCCCAGAUGGUACCGGUUUUGAAGGCAUGGAGGAGUCUUGAGAGAAACUGACACCUGGCACCGUGAGAGGCCAGGAGAGGCCAUUGGUGAAGGUGCAGCCUCAGUGGCAGUUGAGGCCCCAGGACUGAAGGGGUCAUGGGGAGAAGCUGAGGCUUAGCACCAUGAAGGGAGCCCGUGAGAGGCUAUCGGUGAAAGGGCAGCCCAGUUGUGGCAGAAAACCCCAGCGUUUGUAGAUACCAGUACCACGGACGACCACCAAGAACAGAAGAUGUGGAGCGGAAUGAGCUGGAGCCUGGAAGACAAACUGUGCGUGCUACAGAAGUUGGAGCUGGAAGUAACAUCAGCUCCUUGGAGGAGCCCAGAAGCUCAUGAGUGAAUCGCAGAUAUUGGACAUUGAAUUAUUUCACGGUUGGAGUGUGAUUUUGCAUUGUUCAGGUUGUGACUAUGUCCUGGUUCCUCCCUCUUGAAGUCAGAAAGUACUUAGCUUAUUUUUGAUUUUACAGGAGUCUGUAGUUGAGAGACUUUGAAUUUUUAAAAGAGGUGUUGUAUUUAAAAGAAAAUUUGGAUUUUUAGAGAAACAACUUUUAAAGGGUUUUAACUGGUGAAGAUUGUGAGACUUUCAGGUUUGUAAUAUACUUUAUAUUUCUGAUAUUUACCAGUCUGAAAAUUUGAGGAUGAAUUAAAGAAAUGAAAGGUUAUUAUCUUAGGAAGUGUGUCAAGCUGACAAGGCAGUAAUUGUGUUGGCUAAUUUAAUGUCAGCUUGACCCAGGCUAGAGUCAUCCGAGGGUGGGGAACCCCAAUCGAAAGAAUUGGGGUUCCGUAAGAUCAGGCUGUAGGGAAACUUGUAGGACAUUUUCUUCAUUAGUGAUUGGUUUGGGAGGGUUCGGCCAUUGUGGGUACAGCUACCCCUGGGCUGAGCAAGCCACGAGGAGCAAGUCAGUAAGCCGCACCCCUCUACAGCCUCUGCAGCAGCUACUGUCUCCAUGUUCUUACCCUGUCUGAGUUUCUGCCCUGACUUCCUGCAGUGAUGGACUACGGCAUGGAAGUGCAAGUCAAAUAAACUCUUUCCCCUCUAAUUUGCUUUUGAUCAUGGUGUUUCAUCAUAGCAAUAGUAACCCAAACUAAGACAGUUUUUGAUACUCAAAUAUGAACAAUGACAUUCUUAAUCUUAGCGAGGUCCUGCUUACAAAGAAUUUACUGUGGGCCUGAAAUGUGUGUCUUCUGGUAGAUGACAUUAACUCCUCAAAAUGCCUUCCAAGCAGGUGCAUGGCCACUCCUGCAGGGCUGGAUGAAGGUAGUUCGUUCAUGCCGAGGACCGUGGCACUGGGUAGCACUGCCUCCCAGGCAGCGAGAAGGUUGUGGUUCUCCAGGGAGCAUUUCACUAGACUUCAGCUUAAAUGUUGUUUAUACAUGGCCAUUGAUUUCCUUUUCUAAGAACUGCCAAUCCCAUGGAAUUAGCCACACCUGCUAGGCAACUCCCACCCCGUAGCUCAACCGGGUGGCCAGCGCAAGCUCUGGCUCCUGUCGUGAGAGCAAUAGCCAUUCUGCAUGGGAACUAGCUAGAAAUUAAAACCCCUGGCCCCACACUUGCUGGAGCUUGGAUGCCAGUCAAAAGUGUAAGAACCUCAGUUCUACUUUAAUAGAUGAGAAAUAUUUCCUUUAUUUCCCCCACGGUAUACUUUUAUAACCCUCCUUACCCAUGUAACAUUUCCUGUCAUGAACUGAUGCUCUAAAUGCUCUAGGAAGCUGCCCUGUUGACGAGAGCUCCCCUGACUGGUGAUGUGUUGGUAAAGGCUUAGCCACAGGCUAGGGAGGAGGAGAGCUUGAUGUGUGGUCCUUCCUGCGCAAACUCUGUAACAUGGACACUUUGUCUGAGUAACUUUCAGGAUAUCGGUAACUUGGAAUCAGAAGACAGCUGACUGCAGCAGCCUAUGGAAAGACGGCGACAAGAAUUCUGAAGGUGAUUCAGACACUCCACGGUUAUCCUUUGAGAUUUCAAAAAAUGCUUUAAAUUGGUUUAUUUGAAAUGACACCCACCGGAUUCCAACCUAACAGCAGCUUGGAGCCUUUCCUAUUCGUGCUCAGUCGUCAUGACAGCUUGGCCAUUGAGAUAUGAGAAUACCUAGAACUUCCUCCAAAGGUGCUAUACUCUGGGAAAUGGAGUUUUGGGACUCAAAGCCAUUAAAUGUCUAAAUUAAGAGUGGUUUAGUCAGUGAUCUUAGUAAAGACUGACACGCCUAUGAUAGAGCUAUCUUGCUGGCUAAUUUUGUGCUACCAGAUACUGGAGUGAGUCAACACGCCGUGGGAUUCCGCGGAGACAUUUGAAAUGUGAUGAGAGCUUUCCUUUCCUCGAGAAUGAGGAAGGGCCAUCAUGUAGGCUUUCCAACCUGACAAUAAGUGGCUUUUCAAUUUGAGAUUGUUUAUUAAAGGAAAGAUGAUCACUUAACUCUGAGAAAGACGUCUGGAAAAGUGAGCCUCGAACAGAAGUAAAUAGAACUUGUCUCCACAAGAAGGCCUCAAGAGAAACGUAACAAUCUGCACAAAAGAUCGCAUUAAAAUAUUAACCAAUUAUCCUGGUCUAA
Molecule: long non-coding RNA, 2918 nt
Organism: Alexandromys fortis (reed vole)
Lineage: Eukaryota; Metazoa; Chordata; Mammalia; Rodentia; Cricetidae
Exons: 3
Source: RefSeq, a predicted model, not a curated record